AUUGAACGCUGGCGGCAGGCCUAACACAUGCAAGUCGAGCGGAUGAAGGGAGCUUGCUCCUGGAUUCAGCGGCGGACGGGUGAGUAAUGCCUAGGAAUCUGCCUGGUAGUGGGGGAUAACGUCCGGAAACGGGCGCUAAUACCGCAUACGUCCUGAGGGAGAAAGUGGGGGAUCUUCGGACCUCACGCUAUCAGAUGAGCCCAGGUCGGAUUAGCUAGUUGGUGGGGUAAAGGCCUACCAAGGCGACGAUCCGUAACUGGUCUGAGAGGAUGAUCAGUCACACUGGAACUGAGACACGGUCCAGACUCCUACGGGAGGCGGCAGUGGGGAAUAUUGGACAAUGGGCGAAAGCCUGAUCCAGCCAUGCCGCGUGUGUGAAGAAGGUCUUCGGAUUGUAAAGCACUUUAAGUUGGGAGGAAGGGCAGUAAGUUAAUACCUUGCUGUUUUGACGUUACCAACAGAAUAAGCACCGGCUAACUUCGUG
RNAcentral lists this ribosomal RNA (484 nucleotides) under uncultured bacterium. RNAcentral describes it as "partial 16S ribosomal RNA". It matches the Rfam family "Bacterial small subunit ribosomal RNA", at positions 30 to 507 of the family's 1533-position model. The record is from RNAcentral.